Molecule: ribosomal RNA, 301 nt
Filed under: uncultured bacterium
Lineage: Bacteria
Description: partial 16S ribosomal RNA
Rfam family: Bacterial small subunit ribosomal RNA
Source: RNAcentral
CAGUAGCCGCGGUAAUACGAAGGGUGCAAGCGUUACUCGGAAUUACUGGGCGUAAAGCGUGCGUAGGUGGUUGUUUAAGCCUGCUGUGAAAGCCCUGGGCUCAACCUGGGAAUUGCAGUGGAUACUGGGCGACUAGAGUAAGGUAGAGGAUAGUGGAAUUUCCGGUGUAGCGGUGAAAUGCGUAGAGAUCGGGAGGAACAUCAGUGGCGAAGGCGGCCAUCUGGGACAACACUGACGCUGAGGCACGAAAGCGUGGGGAGCAAACAGGAUUAGAUACCCCUGUAGUCCCUGUCUCUUAUAC